This 498-nucleotide ribosomal RNA is filed under the name uncultured bacterium. RNAcentral's name for it is "partial 16S ribosomal RNA". It matches the Rfam family "Bacterial small subunit ribosomal RNA", at positions 28 to 523 of the family's 1533-position model. The record is from RNAcentral.
GAUGAACGCUAGCGGCAGGCCUAAUACAUGCAAGUCGAACGAUACAAGAGAGCUUGCUUUCUGGGAAAGUGGCGCAAGGGUGCGUAACGCGUAUGCAACCUACCUUAAUCAGGGGGAUAGCCCCUCGAAAGAGAGAUUAACACCGCUUAACAUCAUUUUACCGCAUCGUAAAAUGAACAAAUAUUUAUAGGAUUAAGAAGGGCAUGCGUGACAUUAGUUAGUUGGCGAGGUAACGGCUCAGCAAGGCUACGAUGUCUAGGGGAUAUGAGGGGAGGACCGCCCACACUGGUACUGAGACACGGACCAGACUCCUACGGGAGGCAGCAGUAAGGAAUAUUGGUCAAUGGAGGCAACUCUGAACCAGGCAUGCCGCGUGCAGGAAGACGGCCCUAUGGGUUGUAAACUGCUUUUAUACGGGAAUAAACCUCUCUACGUGUAGGGAGUUGAAUGUACUGUAAGAAUAAGGAUCGGCUAACUCCGUGCCAGCAGCCGCAGUAA